RNAcentral lists this ribosomal RNA (494 nucleotides) under uncultured bacterium. RNAcentral describes it as "partial 16S ribosomal RNA". It matches the Rfam family "Bacterial small subunit ribosomal RNA", at positions 28 to 507 of the family's 1533-position model. The record is from RNAcentral.
GACGAACGCUGGCGGCGUGCUUAACACAUGCAAGUUGAACGGUGAAGCGCCUUCCUUUUUGGUGGGUGUGGAUGAGUGGCGAACGGGUGAGUAACACGUGAGUAACCUGCCCCCUUCUUCUGGAUAACCGCAUGAAAGUGUGGCUAAUACGGGAUAUUCUGGGUCUGUCGCAUGAUGGGUCUGGGAAAGAUAUUGUUUCGGUGGGGGAUGGGCUCGCGGCCUAUCAGCUUGUUGGUGGGGUGAUGGCCUACCAAGGCGGUGACGGGUAGCCGGCCUGAGAGGGUGGACGGUCACACUGGGACUGAGACACGGCCCAGACUCCUACGGGAGGCAGCAGUGGGGAAUAUUGCACAAUGGGCGCAAGCCUGAUGCAGCGACGCCGCGUGAGGGAUGGAGGCCUGCGGGUUGUGAACCUCUUUCGCCAGUGAAGCAGGCCUGCCUCGUUUGUGGGUGGGUUGACGGUAGCUGGAUAAGAAGCGCCGGCUAACUACGUG